GAUGAACGCUGGCGGCGUGCUUAACACAUGCAAGUCGAACGAUGAAGCCCAGCUUGCUGGGUGGAUUAGUGGCGAACGGGUGAGUAACACGUGAGUAACCUGCCCUUGACUCUGGGAUAAGCCUGGGAAACUGGGUCUAAUACUGGAUAUGACUUCUCAUCGCAUGGUGGGGGGUGGAAAGAUUUAUUGGUCUUGGAUGGACUCGCGGCCUAUCAGCUUGUUGGUGAGGUAAUGGCUCACCAAGGCGACGACGGGUAGCCGGCCUGAGAGGGUGACCGGCCACACUGGGACUGAGACACGGCGCAGACUCCUACGGGAGGCAGCAGUGGGGAAUAUUGCACAAUGGGCGCAAGCCUGAUGCAGCGACGCCGCGUGAGGGAUGACGGCCUUCGGGUUGUAAACCUCUUUCAGUAGGGAAGAAGCGAGAGUGACGGUACCUGCAGAAGAAGCGCCGGCUAACUACGUG
RNAcentral lists this ribosomal RNA (466 nucleotides) under uncultured bacterium. Its description in RNAcentral is "partial 16S ribosomal RNA". It matches the Rfam family "Bacterial small subunit ribosomal RNA", at positions 28 to 507 of the family's 1533-position model. The record is from RNAcentral.